GAUGAACGCUAGCUACAGGCUUAACACAUGCAAGUCGAGGGGAAACGGCAUUGAGUGCUUGCACUCUUUGGACGUCGACCGGCGCACGGGUGAGUAACGCGUAUCCAACCUUCCCAUUACUGUGGGAUAACCUGCCGAAAGGCAGACUAAUACCGCAUAGUCUUCGAUGACGGCAUCAGAUUUGAAGUAAAGAUUUAUCGGUGAUGGAUGGGGAUGCGUCUGAUUAGCUUGUUGGCGGGGUAACGGCCCACCAAGGCUACGAUCAGUAGGGGUUCUGAGAGGAAGGUCCCCCACAUUGGAACUGAGACACGGUCCAAACUCCUACGGGAGGCAGCAGUGAGGAAUAUUGGUCAAUGGACGGAAGUCUGAACCAGCCAAGUAGUGUGCAGGAUGACGGCCCUAUGGGUUGUAAACUGCUUUUGUAUGGGGAUAAAGUUAGGGACGUGUCCCUAUUUGCAGGUACCAUACGAAUAAGGACCGGCUAAUUCCGUGCCAGCAGCCGCGGUAAUACGGAAGGUCCAGGCGUUAUCCGGAUUUAUUGGGUUUAAAGGGAGCGUAGGCUGGAGAUUAAGUGUGUUGUGAAAUGUAGACGCUCAACGUCUGAAUUGCAGCGCAUACUGGUUUCCUUGAGUACGCACAACGUUGGCGGAAUUCGUCGUGUAGCGGUGAAAUGCUUAGAUAUGACGAAGAACUCCGAUUGCGAAGGCAGCUGACGGGAGCGCAACUGACGCUUAAGCUCGAAGGUGCGGGUAUCAAACAGG
Molecule: ribosomal RNA, 761 nt
Filed under: Prevotella melaninogenica
Lineage: Bacteria; Pseudomonadati; Bacteroidota; Bacteroidia; Bacteroidales; Prevotellaceae
Description: bacterial SSU rRNA
Rfam family: Bacterial small subunit ribosomal RNA
Source: RNAcentral